This is a long non-coding RNA of Corticium candelabrum, 261 nucleotides long. RefSeq lists it as uncharacterized. NCBI's taxonomy places the organism in Eukaryota, Metazoa, Porifera, Homoscleromorpha, Homosclerophorida, Plakinidae. The record is from RefSeq and is a predicted model, not a curated record. The transcript is spliced from 3 exons.
AGAUCGCGAACAGUCUGAUGUGAUUAGAAUCUUUUCUUGAGCGUUCAAGCUCGUUUUGACGAGUUUCGCUACCUCGGAGUGUUCCAAUUUUGUAUGGAAAAGACGUCAAAUGCGCUCACCAGCAUAACGGAGAUUUUAGGUUCUACGCUUUGUUUUACCAACUUAAUAGAAGGCUCGUAACAUCGGCCAUACUGUCUUCGCGCAGCGGUCGAGUGCGCCGGAAAUUCUCGGCAAGUUGCAAGCUAAACGGUUAACCAGAAG